RNAcentral lists this long non-coding RNA (203 nucleotides) under Elaeis guineensis (African oil palm). Its description in RNAcentral is "long non-coding RNA (EGUI_LNC042357)". The record is from RNAcentral. Lineage: Eukaryota; Viridiplantae; Streptophyta; Magnoliopsida; Arecales; Arecaceae.
AUGGCUGAAGAGUCCAAUUGGAUUAUGACUCUGAUGAGGAGUCCCACUAGGAUUGAGACUUUGGAGGAGAGUCCCACUGGAUUGAGACUCUACUAUUAAUAAAAAAUUAAUUAAUAAUUAGAUUUUUAAUUGACUUAAUUUGAUUGAGUAAAGAGCUUUGGAUCAUGUCUAAUUGAAUUGGAUUCAAUUUGUCUUAGAUUGGG